Molecule: ribosomal RNA, 218 nt
Filed under: uncultured bacterium
Lineage: Bacteria
Description: partial 16S ribosomal RNA
Rfam family: Bacterial small subunit ribosomal RNA
Source: RNAcentral
UCGAAAGCCUAUCUCAGUUCGGAUUGGAGGCUGAAACCCGCCUCCAUGAAGUUGGAUUCGCUAGUAAUCGCGCAUCAGCCAUGGCGCGGUGAAUACGUUCCCGGGCCUUGUACACACCGCCCGUCAAGCCAUGGGAGCUGGGGGUGCCUGAAGUUCGUGACCGCAAGGAUCGACCUAGGGCAAAACCGGUGACUGGGGCUAAGUCGUAACAAGGUAAC